GGCCUGGUGGAACAAUGGCUAGUUCGUCUGUUUCCGGAGCAGGAGGCUGUGGGUUCGAGUCCCAUCCGGGUCG
Sistotremastrum suecicum HHB10207 ss-3 is the source of this 73-nucleotide transfer RNA. It matches the Rfam family "tRNA". Rfam says of the family: Transfer RNA (tRNA) molecules are approximately 80 nucleotides in length. Their secondary structure includes four short double-helical elements and three loops (D, anti-codon, and T loops). NCBI's taxonomy places the organism in Eukaryota, Fungi, Basidiomycota, Agaricomycetes, Sistotremastrales, Sistotremastraceae. The record is from Rfam.